CCUACGGGCGGCUGCAGUAAGGAAUAUUGGUCAAUGGACGAAAGUCUGAACCAGCCAUCCCGCGUGCAGGAUGAAAGCCCUAUGGGUUGUAAACUGCUUUUAGCAGAGAAGAAAAGCUUUCAUUAAUGAGAGUCUGACGGUAUCUGCAGAAUAAGCACCGGCUAACUCCGUGCCAGCAGCCGCGGUAAUACGGAGGGUGCGGGAAUUACUCGGGUUUAAGGGUGCGUAGGCGUGCGUAUAAGGCGGUGGUGAAAUCUUGUCGCUUAACGAUAAAAUUGCAAAUGAUACUGGUACUCUUGAAUUGGGUUGAGGUUAGCGGAAUGUGACAUGUAGCGGUGAAAUGCAUAGAUAUGUCAUGGAACACCAAUUGCGAAGGCAGCUAACUGGGCCUUGAUUGACGCUGAGGCACGAAAGCGUGGGUAGCGAACAGGAUUAGAUACCCCAGUAGUC
RNAcentral lists this ribosomal RNA (450 nucleotides) under uncultured bacterium. RNAcentral's name for it is "partial 16S ribosomal RNA". It matches the Rfam family "Bacterial small subunit ribosomal RNA", at positions 338 to 795 of the family's 1533-position model. The record is from RNAcentral.